This 321-nucleotide ribosomal RNA is filed under the name uncultured Bacteroidales bacterium. Its description in RNAcentral is "bacterial SSU rRNA". It matches the Rfam family "Bacterial small subunit ribosomal RNA", at positions 28 to 339 of the family's 1533-position model. The record is from RNAcentral. Lineage: Bacteria; Pseudomonadati; Bacteroidota; Bacteroidia; Bacteroidales.
GAUGAACGCUAGCUACAGGCUUAACACAUGCAAGUCGAGGGGCAGCAUGACGAGUGCUUGCACUUGUUGAUGGCGACCGGCGCACGGGUGCGUAACGCGUAUCCAACCUGCCGUGUACUCCGGGACAGCCCUCUGAAAGGAGGAUUAAUACCGGAUGUGGUUGCGACGAGACAUCUUGUUGCAAUUAAAGAUUCAUCGGUACACCGAUGGGGAUGCGUACGAUUAGCUUGUCGGCGGGGUAACGGCCCACCGAGGCGACGAUCGUUAGGGGUUCUGAGAGGAAGGUCCCCCACAUAGGAACUGAGACACGGUCCUAACUCC